GACGAACGCUGGCGGCGCGCUUAACACAUGCAAGUCGAGCGAUGAAAUUUUGACAGAUCCCUUCGGGGUGAAGAUAAAAUGGAUUAGCGGCGGACGGGUGAGUAACACGUGAGUAACCUGCCUUAGACAUUGGGAUAGCCUCGGGAAACCGGGAUUAAUACCGAAUAAAAUCACAGAUACACAUGUAUCCAUGAUCAAAACUCCGGUGGUCUAAGAUGGACUCGCGUCCCAUUAGCUAGUUGGUGAGGUAACGGCCCACCAAGGCGACGAUGGGUAGCCGGCCUGAGAGGGUGAACGGCCACAUUGGAACUGAGAAACGGUCCAAACUCCUACGGGAGGCAGCAGUGGGGAAUAUUGCACAAUGGAGGGAACUCUGAUGCAGCGACGCCGCGUGAACGAAGAAGGCUUUCGAGUCGUAAAGUUCUUUUAUAUGGGAAGAUAAUGACGGUACCAUAAGAAAAAGCCCCGGCUAACUACGUGCCAGCAGCCGCGGUAAUACGUAGGGGGCUAGCGUUGUCCGGAAUCACUGGGCGUAAAGGGUUCGCAGGCGGAAAUGCAAGUCAGAUGUAAAAGGCAGUAGCUUAACUACUGUAAGCAUUUGAAACUGCAUAUCUUGAGAAGAGUAGAGGUAAGUGGAAUUUUUAGUGUAGCGGUGAAAUGCGUAGAUAUUAAAAAGAAUACCGGUGGCGAAGGCGACUUACUGGGCUCAUUCUGACGCUGAGGGACGAAAGCGUGGGUAGCAAACAGG
Molecule: ribosomal RNA, 748 nt
Filed under: uncultured Peptoniphilus sp.
Lineage: Bacteria; Bacillati; Bacillota; Tissierellia; Tissierellales; Peptoniphilaceae
Description: bacterial SSU rRNA
Rfam family: Bacterial small subunit ribosomal RNA
Source: RNAcentral